CAAUAUUUAAUCUAAGCGAUCUCCAUGGAAUUCUUCCUCUGACAAUAGAGUGGAUUUACACUCUGCAUUCCACUUCCUCUGACUAUAGCGGAGGCUUUCUUCAGUAACAUGUGGUUAAACUCAAAGGAAGCAGCCAAUGACAAAUAGCUUCCUUAGGGCUGCUCAGAUUUCAACGGGAGAGAAGGGAUGAUUGUAGAGGCAUGCACGGCUUCAGAGGAGCCUACAGAAACAGGGUUGCAGGGAACAUUUGGCUGUGAGAUUUAUAGCUGUCUCUGCAUGCUGGUGUCAAGUGGAAGAUCAUGGAAGACCUUAGGGCAUAGGGUGGAGCGUCAUCCCUAAUAAAAAAUGUCAAAACCUUUUCAAAAUGCAAUAGUGGUUGUGGUUAGUAGAAAUUGUGUUGCUUCCCAGGGAUGCACGAGAUUUACUUACUUAUGGAGGCCAUGGAUGAGUUACUUUGCUCUCCUAAAACAGAGCUUCAAAGGUCCUCCUCCACGAUUCAUGAUUGCAAAUCUUGUUGAAAUUGCAAACUUGUUGCAGCGGUCGAUGCUUACAGAUAUGCCUUCGAUAAACCAUGACAUUGGAAACAAAAUUUCAGCUUAUAUACCGAGUGGUCACAGAUUUAUGGUCUCUUUCUCACAAAUGUCUAUUAUGUUUUUUAAUGUAUGUUCUAAUUUCUGGAUUAACGGUUGUGCAAGAGAGAUAUUUUUUAUAUUGGUUUGGUUAUGAGCCUGGCCGAGCUAAUCAGGGAACUACUUUAUUCAGAUCAUUCUUUUGACUGUGGAAGGUCUCCAAUAACUAAGAAGAUGAUGUGGUCAUGGGCCUCUGUUUACAUCAUGUUCAAUUGAUAAAGGAAUGGAAUGAGAUUAUGGAGGAAGCUACAGAGAGGCCUUGUGAAUUAAGCUAACUGUUUUCAUUGACAGGCUUACAACAGAAUUCCAAUGAGGGUUGGAUUUGCAAUGGAUUACAACAAAGAUGGAAAGGAAAUAUGACAAGACAUUAGGGGUUUAGAGGAGAUAAUGAACCACAAUAUUUGAUAUCUAUGGCUGCCAGGUUCCAAGUAUCACAUGAUUAACUAUUAGAUUAUUUUUCAAAAGAGCAAUUUGAGAUUUGAUUUGUUUUUAACAUGGUAAAAACUCAUGACUCAUUCGUAU
Molecule: long non-coding RNA, 1151 nt
Organism: Cryptomeria japonica (Japanese cedar)
Lineage: Eukaryota; Viridiplantae; Streptophyta; Pinopsida; Cupressales; Cupressaceae
Exons: 4
Source: RefSeq, a predicted model, not a curated record